ACGCACGCUGGCGGCGUGCUUCACACAUGCCAGUCGCACGGAAAGGCCCUGCUUGCAGGGUACUCGAGUGGCGAACGGGUGAGUAACACGUGGGUGAUCUGCCCUGCACUUCGGGAUAAGCCUGGGAAACUGGGUCUAAUACCGGAUAGGAGCCAUUUUUAGUGUGAUGGUUGGAAAGUUUUUUCGGUGUAGGAUGAGCUCGCGGCCUAUCAGCUUGUUGGUGGGGUAAUGGCCUACCAAGGCGGCGACGGGUAGCCGGCCUGAGAGGGUGGACGGCCACAUUGGGACUGAGAUACGGCCCAGACUCCUACGGGAGGCAGCAGUGGGGAAUAUUGCACAAUGGGCGCAAGCCUGAUGCAGCGACGCCGCGUGGGGGAUGACGGCCUUCGGGUUGUAAACUCCUUUCGCUAGGGACGAAGCUUUUUGUGACGGUACCUAGAUAAGAAGCACCGGCUAACUACGU
RNAcentral lists this ribosomal RNA (463 nucleotides) under uncultured bacterium. RNAcentral describes it as "partial 16S ribosomal RNA". It matches the Rfam family "Bacterial small subunit ribosomal RNA", at positions 29 to 506 of the family's 1533-position model. The record is from RNAcentral.